RNAcentral lists this ribosomal RNA (1005 nucleotides) under Triticum aestivum (bread wheat). Its description in RNAcentral is "partial small subunit ribosomal RNA". The record is from RNAcentral. Lineage: Eukaryota; Viridiplantae; Streptophyta; Magnoliopsida; Poales; Poaceae.
AUGGAGGAGCUCGCUGGCGACCGCCCCGGCCCGCCGCCGCUCUAUCUCCCGCUUCCCCCGGACGACCUGCUCCUGGAGAUCCUCCUGCGCCUCCCGCCGGAGCCCAUCUACCUCUUCCGCGCCUCCUUCGUCUCCAAGCACUGGCGCAGCCUCGUGCACGACGCCCGCUUCCUCCGCCGCUUCCGUGAGUUCCACGGGGGGACGCCUCCCGUCCUCGGCUUCUUCAACAACCAGUUGGAGCAUCCCCUCUUCGUCCCCACCUCCGGCGGCUUCGCGCUCUCCACCGCCACGAUGUCCCACGACGACUGGUGGGCCCUCGACUGCCGCCACGGCCGAGCCCUCCUGGAAAGGCUCGGAUCCGGAAAGCUCCUCGUCUGGGACCUCUUGACCGGCGACGAGCGCCACCUGCCCGCCCCCCCAGCCUGUGACGGGAUGUACAACGGUACGGUUCUGUGCGCGGCCGGCCACACCGUCCACGGCGACUGCCGGUCGUGCCCGUUCCUCGUGGUGUACGUGUUCAGUCGAAGUAGUUCUGCUAUCUGUGCGUGCGUAUUGUCAUCCGAUACUGGCGUCUGGAGUGAGGUCACCUCCAUCGAUGUACAAUCUUUAGUAGUUGAUCCGACACCGUCAGCUCUAGUUGGGAACACACUCUACUGGCUGCUGGAAUACAAUAAUAUCUUUGAAUAUGAUUUGGAUAAUCAUAGGUUGGGUCUAACUGCGAAGUUACCAGGCGACACUCUAUGUAGCUAUCGGGGGCAGGUUGUCAUCAUGCCGACAGAGGAUGGACGUCUUGGUUUGGCCGGAGUCGAAGGACCCAAUCUCCAUCUGUGGUCACUGCUGACAGGCAUUGACGGGCUCGUAACAUGGACACAUCAAAGGGUCAUAGAUCUCGAGAAUUUAUUGCACCGGAAGUGGUGGCAUUAUGUAUCUAUGGAGUUGAGGCGGUUGGUUUUGCUGAAGAUGCUGGGGUUAUCUUCAUUUAUGUGCACCCUAGUGUCUAUAUGA